AUCAAUAUAGUGAAAAAACACAAUAAAUUUAAAACUUAUAUACGUAGACAACAACUCUACUAUUGAUA
Molecule: transfer RNA, 68 nt
Filed under: Rossellidae sp. DVL-2014
Lineage: Eukaryota; Metazoa; Porifera; Hexactinellida; Lyssacinosida; Rossellidae
Description: tRNA-Leu
Source: RNAcentral